RNAcentral lists this non-coding RNA (27 nucleotides) under Mus musculus (house mouse). Lineage: Eukaryota; Metazoa; Chordata; Mammalia; Rodentia; Muridae. The record is from RNAcentral.
UGAGAAACCUGUUUUUGGUUAAAGAGC